AUUGAACGCUGGCGGCAUGCCUUACACAUGCAAGUCGAACGGCAGCAUGAUCUAGCUUGCUAGAUUGAUGGCGAGUGGCGAACGGGUGAGUAAUACAUCGGAACGUGCCCUGUAGUGGGGGAUAACUAGUCGAAAGAUUAGCUAAUACCGCAUACGACCUGAGGGUGAAAGUGGGGGACCGCAAGGCCUCAUGCUAUAGGAGCGGCCGAUGUCUGAUUAGCUAGUUGGUGAGGUAAAGGCUCACCAAGGCGACGAUCAGUAGCUGGUCUGAGAGGACGAUCAGCCACACUGGGACUGAGACACGGCCCAGACUCCUACGGGAGGCAGCAGUGGGGAAUUUUGGACAAUGGGCGAAAGCCUGACCCAGCAAUGCCGCGUGUGUGAAGAAGGCCUUCGGGUUGUAAAGCACUUUUGUCCGGAAAGAAAUGGCUCUGGUUAAUACCUGGGGUCGAUGACGGUACCGGAAGAAUAAGGACCGGCUAACUACGUG
This 490-nucleotide ribosomal RNA is filed under the name uncultured bacterium. RNAcentral's name for it is "partial 16S ribosomal RNA". It matches the Rfam family "Bacterial small subunit ribosomal RNA", at positions 30 to 507 of the family's 1533-position model. The record is from RNAcentral.